Molecule: non-coding RNA, 162 nt
Filed under: human gut metagenome
Source: RNAcentral
UCGGUAACGAGGGGUCCGGAGGAAGCCGAUAGCAAAACACUGGCCUGAUGAACAAGAAGCAGAUAGUAGGCUUAUUCAGUGGGUGAGAGGUCGUACUUAUUCGAAGCCCUAAUACACGUACGGAACUGAAUCAGUAUAUCUGACAGGUAAAGUGUGAAAGCA